Molecule: ribosomal RNA, 464 nt
Filed under: uncultured bacterium
Lineage: Bacteria
Description: bacterial SSU rRNA
Rfam family: Bacterial small subunit ribosomal RNA
Source: RNAcentral
AACGAACGCUGGCGGCAGGCCUAACACAUGCAAGUCGAACGAUGAAGUGGACUUCGGUUCAUGGAAGAGUGGCGGACGGGUGAGUAACGCGUGGGAACGUGCCCUUGGGUAUGGAACAACCACUGGAAACGGUGGCUAAUACCAUAUGAUGUCUUCGGACCAAAGAUUUAUCGCCCAAGGAUCGGCCCGCGUUGGAUUAGUUAGUUGGUGAGGUAAUGGCUCACCAAGGCGACGAUCCAUAGCUGGUCUGAGAGGAUGAUCAGCCACACUGGGACUGAGACACGUCCCAGACUCCUACGGGAGGCAGCAGUGGGGAAUAUUGGACAAUGGGCGCAAGCCUGAUCCAGCCAUGCCGCGUGAGUGAAGAAGGCCUUAGGGUUGUAAAACUCUUUCGCUAGGGAAGAUAAUGACGGUACCUAGUAAAGAAGCCCCGGCUAACUCCGUGCCAGCCGCCGCCGUAACAC